Molecule: ribosomal RNA, 420 nt
Filed under: uncultured bacterium
Lineage: Bacteria
Description: bacterial SSU rRNA
Rfam family: Bacterial small subunit ribosomal RNA
Source: RNAcentral
GAGGAAUAUUGGUCAAUGGGCGCAAGCCUGAACCAGCCAUCCCGCGUGAAGGAUGAAGGCCUUAUGGGUUGUAAACUUCUUUUGUACCUGAAGAAACCCUUCUACGUGUAGGAGGUUGCCGGUAAGGUACGAAUAAGCAUCGGCUAACUCCGUGCCAGCAGCCGCGGUAAUACGGAGGAUGCAAGCGUUAUCCGGAUUUAUUGGGUUUAAAGGGUGCGCAGGUGGUUGAAUAAGUCAGUGGUGAAAGUCUGCCGCUUAACGGUAGGAUUGCCAUUGAUACUGUUUAACUUGAGUUUGGAUGAGGUAGGCGGAAUGUGUAGUGUAGCGGUGAAAUGCAUAGAUAUUACACAGAACACCGAUUGCGAAGGCAGCUUACUAAUCCACUACUGACACUGAGGCACGAAAGCGUGGGGAUCAAAC